RNAcentral lists this ribosomal RNA (253 nucleotides) under uncultured bacterium. RNAcentral describes it as "partial 16S ribosomal RNA". It matches the Rfam family "Bacterial small subunit ribosomal RNA", at positions 524 to 776 of the family's 1533-position model. The record is from RNAcentral.
UACGGAGGGGGCGAGCGUUAUUCGGAAUUAUUGGGCGUAAAGGGCGCGUAGGCGGCUGUACAAGUCAAAGGUGAAAUCCCUCGGCUCAACUGAGGAACUGCCUUUGAAACUGUACGGCUUGAAUCCGGGAGAGGUGAGUGGAAUUCCGAGUGUAGAGGUGAAAUUCGUAGAUAUUCGGAAGAACACCAGUGGCGAAGGCGGCUCACUGGACCGGUAUUGACGCUGAGGUGCGAAAGCGUGGGGAGCAAACAGG